CACGGGUGCGGAACGCGUAUGGAACCUGCCCCUGUCAGAGGAAUAGCCCAUGGAAACGUGGAUUAAUGCCUCAUGGUAUUGUGAAGUUGCAUGAUUUUACAAUUAAAGAUUUAUCGGACAGGGAUGGCCAUGCGUAUCAUUAGCUAGUUGGGGAGGUAACGGCUCACCAAGGCGACGACGAUUAGGGGCCCUGAGAGGGGGAUCCCCCACACUGGUACUGAGACACGGACCAGACUCCUACGGGAGGCAGCAGUGAGGAAUAUUGGACAAUGGUCGGAAGACUGAUCCAGCCAUGCCGCGUGCAGGAAGACGGCCCUACGGGUUGUAAACUGCUUUUCUACAGGAAGAAAGGUUCCCUUGCGAGGGAGAUUGACGGUACUGUAGGAAUAAGGACCGGCUAACUCCGUGCCAGCAGCCGCGGUAAUACGGAGGGUCCGAGCGUUAUCCGGAAUCAUUGGGUUUAAAGGGUCCGUAGGUGGGGUUCUAAGUCAGAGGUGAAAGGUUGCAGCUCAACUGUAGAAUUGCCUUUGAUACUGGAGCUCUUGAGUUAUGUUGCUGUGGCCGGAACAUGUGGUGUAGCGGUGAAAUGCAUAGAUAUCACAUAGAACACCGAUUGCGAAGGCAGGUCACAAAGCAUACACUGACACUGAGGGACGAAAGCGUGGGGAGCGAACGGGAUUAGAUACCCCGGUAGUCCACGCCGUAAACGAUGGAUACUAGCUGUUGGGUUUUCGGACUCGGCGGCCAAGCGAAAGUGAUAAGUAUCCCACCUGGGGAGUACGUUCGCAAGAAUGAAACUCAAAGGAAUUGACGGGGGCCCGCACAAGCGGUGGAGCAUGUGGUUUAAUUCGAUGAUACGCGAGGAACCUUACCAGGGCUUAAAUGGGAGAUGACCGGGUCAGAGACGACCCUUUCUUCGGACAUCUUUCAAGGUGCUGCAUGGUUGUCGUCAGCUCGUGCCGUGAGGUGUCAGGUUAAGUCCUAUAA
This 987-nucleotide ribosomal RNA is filed under the name uncultured organism. Its description in RNAcentral is "bacterial SSU rRNA". It matches the Rfam family "Bacterial small subunit ribosomal RNA", at positions 100 to 1092 of the family's 1533-position model. The record is from RNAcentral.